RNAcentral lists this ribosomal RNA (497 nucleotides) under uncultured bacterium. RNAcentral's name for it is "partial 16S ribosomal RNA". It matches the Rfam family "Bacterial small subunit ribosomal RNA", at positions 28 to 507 of the family's 1533-position model. The record is from RNAcentral.
GAUGAACGCUGGCGGCGUGCCUAAUACAUGCAAGUCGAGCGAACAGACGAGGAGCUUGCUCCUCUGACGUUAGCGGCGGACGGGUGAGUAACACGUGGAUAACCUACCUAUAAGACUGGGAUAACUUCGGGAAACCGGAGCUAAUACCGGAUAAUAUAUUGAACCGCAUGGUUCAAUAGUGAAAGACGGUUUUGCUGUCACUUAUAGAUGGAUCCGCGCCGCAUUAGCUAGUUGGUAAGGUAACGGCUUACCAAGGCAACGAUGCGUAGCCGACCUGAGAGGGUGAGCGGCAACACUGGAACUGAGACACGGUCCAGACUCCUACGGGAGGCAGCAGUAGGGAAGCUUCCGCAAUGGGCGAAAGCCUGACGGAGCAACGCCGCGUGAGUGAUGAAGGUCUUCGGAUCGUAAAACUCUGUUAUUAGGGAAGAACAAAUGUGUAAGUAACUAUGCACGUCUUGACGGUACCUAAUCAGAAAGCCACGGCUAACUACGUG